This is a long non-coding RNA of Bufo bufo (common toad), 173 nucleotides long. RefSeq lists it as uncharacterized. NCBI's taxonomy places the organism in Eukaryota, Metazoa, Chordata, Amphibia, Anura, Bufonidae. The transcript is spliced from 3 exons. The record is from RefSeq and is a predicted model, not a curated record.
GAAGAGCCAUGGGCAUAGGGAGGAGGGGUUAUCAGUGACUGACAGCUCUCUCCAUGUACACUUAUACACACUGUGCUAUCAAUCACUGAUAACCACUCCUUCCUGUACCGAUGCUGUUCACAGAAGGUUUUACAGAAUCUUUCCCCACAAAUAUAUACAUCAAUCUGCUCAGC